UACAGAGCAAAAUCAGCCAAGGCUCAGG
Molecule: non-coding RNA, 28 nt
Filed under: Mus musculus (house mouse)
Lineage: Eukaryota; Metazoa; Chordata; Mammalia; Rodentia; Muridae
Source: RNAcentral